CUGUGUUGUUCUCAGCCCAGGCUCUUCAUGCCUCAUUUUGUGGAUGUGCACUACCUGCGUUAAAUCCAACUCUUCCUCCCUAUUAAAGAGCAGAGAUUUCCAAUAAACCCUCGCCUUCCUCGGUGACAAGGUGGGAGGGAGGGCAGCCGAGGCAGAGAAAUGCUCCCGCUGUUUCAUAAUUAACGAGAUGCCUGGAUCAUCCCUCAAGAACGUACCUACAAUUUCUACCAAACAAGGUCCUGGCUCUCUGCAGUAAUAAUACAUGAACAGCUCCUCUCCCUCAUCCAUUAAUCAGGAGGGAGGCUGAGAGUCUGCCAACAGCAAGUCGCAACAGCGCCCCCUGCAGCCACAGUGUAAUAAGGCCUUGGGAG
Molecule: long non-coding RNA, 371 nt
Organism: Cyprinodon tularosa
Lineage: Eukaryota; Metazoa; Chordata; Actinopteri; Cyprinodontiformes; Cyprinodontidae
Exons: 5
Source: RefSeq, a predicted model, not a curated record